Molecule: long non-coding RNA, 474 nt
Organism: Terrapene triunguis (Three-toed box turtle)
Lineage: Eukaryota; Metazoa; Chordata; Testudines; Emydidae
Exons: 4
Source: RefSeq, a predicted model, not a curated record
CCUGUCUCUGUUCCUUGCCCUCGAGUUUCCCCAGGUCCCAUCUCUCUGGGCCCAUAGUGAGCACAGGGCUGAAGGCAGGUGACUUCCCGUAACAGAGACAAUCUCAGGCUACAAAGCUCAGAUCCAGGUUUCCUGGAGUUUGGGGGUUGCUGGGCUCAGGGUCUGGGGAUCUGGGCCCAUUUCUCACCCCUCCUUUCCCCAGCAGGGAGGACGGGGUGUUUCAGAAGCUGGAGCCGGGGUUUGCGGAGCUGGAGAAGAGACUCAGCGAUUUCUCUCUGCAAAGCGCCCACUUGCAGGAGGUGCUGCUGGGAUUCAAAGAGACGCUGCGACUGGAGCUGGGGAGCAACACAGGCUGCAGAAUAACAUCCCCGGGUCCCUCCAGACUCUCCCAGCCUGCCCGGGGAAGGGAAAUGGAUGCGGCAGAGCUGGCUCAGGGGCCAGUGACCUUCGAGGAGGUGGCUGUGUAUUUCACCA